RNAcentral lists this ribosomal RNA (254 nucleotides) under uncultured bacterium. RNAcentral describes it as "partial 16S ribosomal RNA". It matches the Rfam family "Bacterial small subunit ribosomal RNA", at positions 524 to 776 of the family's 1533-position model. The record is from RNAcentral.
UACAGAGGUCUCAAGCGUUGUUCGGAUUCAUUGGGCGUAAAGGGUGCGUAGGCGGCGCGGUAAGUCGGAUGUGAAAUCUCGGAGCUUAACUUCGAAACUGCAUUCGAUACUGCCGUGCUUGAGGACUGGAGAGGAGACUGGAAUUUACGGUGUAGCGGUGAAAUGCGUAGUAUAUCGUAAGGAAGACCAGUGGCGAAGGCGGGUCUCUGGACAGUUCCUGACGCUGAGGCACGAAGGUCAGGGGAGCAAACGGG